AUACGGAGGGUGCAAGCGUUAAUCGGAAUUACUGGGCGUAAAGCGCGCGUAGGUGGUUUAGUAAGUCGGAUGUGAAAGCCCUGGGCUCAACCUGGGAAUUGCAUUCGAUACUGCUUGACUAGAGUAUGGUAGAGGGAAGUGGAAUUUCCGGUGUAGCGGUGAAAUGCGUAGAUAUCGGAAGGAACACCAGUGGCGAAGGCGACUUUCUGGGCCAAUACUGACGCUGAGGUGCGAAAGCGUGGGGAGCAAACAGGAUUAGAAACCCCAGUAGUCC
This 274-nucleotide ribosomal RNA is filed under the name uncultured bacterium. RNAcentral's name for it is "partial 16S ribosomal RNA". It matches the Rfam family "Bacterial small subunit ribosomal RNA", at positions 523 to 796 of the family's 1533-position model. The record is from RNAcentral.